This is a non-coding RNA of Acanthosepion pharaonis, 90 nucleotides long. The record is from the annotation of a GenBank genome assembly. NCBI's taxonomy places the organism in Eukaryota, Metazoa, Mollusca, Cephalopoda, Sepiida, Sepiidae.
UUUGAAACAUCGGUUCUCGUAAGAUCACCGAAGUUAAACCACGUCGAGCCUGGUCAAUACUUGGAUGGGUGAUCGCUUGCGUAUACCACG